UACGGAGGGUGCAAGCGUUAUCCGGAUUCACCGGGUUUAAAGGGUGCGUAGGAGGACAGGUAAGUCAGUGGUGAAAUCUCCGAGCUUAACUUGGAAACUGCCGUUGAUACUAUCUGCCUUGAAUAUUGUGGAGGUGAGCGGAAUAUGUCAUGUAGCGGUGAAAUGCUUAGAUAUGACAUAGAACACCAAUUGCGAAGGCAGCUCGCUACACAUAUAUUGACUCUGAGGCACGAAAGCGUGGGGAUCAAACAGG
This 253-nucleotide ribosomal RNA is filed under the name uncultured bacterium. RNAcentral describes it as "partial 16S ribosomal RNA". It matches the Rfam family "Bacterial small subunit ribosomal RNA", at positions 524 to 776 of the family's 1533-position model. The record is from RNAcentral.